This 64-nucleotide transfer RNA is filed under the name Haemaphysalis humerosa. RNAcentral's name for it is "tRNA-Leu". Lineage: Eukaryota; Metazoa; Arthropoda; Arachnida; Ixodida; Ixodidae. The record is from RNAcentral.
UCCAACUUGGCNGAAAAAUGCCAUAAAUUUAGAAUUUAUUUAUGGAAAUUCAAUUCAGUUGAAA